CGGGGUGUAGUUCACCAGUAGAACGCGCGGUUCGGGACCGCGAGGCAGGAGGUGCGAUUCCUCUCACCCCGA
RNAcentral lists this transfer RNA (72 nucleotides) under Patescibacteria group bacterium. RNAcentral describes it as "tRNA-Pro". It matches the Rfam family "tRNA". Rfam says of the family: Transfer RNA (tRNA) molecules are approximately 80 nucleotides in length. Their secondary structure includes four short double-helical elements and three loops (D, anti-codon, and T loops). The record is from RNAcentral.